UACUUUUUUUUAAAAAAGUUUGAGGACUUUUUACACAAUUCUUCUAUUCUUUCCCUUUCACAAACCCUAACCGCUGCUCAAAGACCCCAUUGCUUGUCGCCUCUUCCGGCCAAAGCUGCUACCGUCUUUUCUCUCCCUACUUUCCCAGUUAGCUUUGUUUGUACACAAACCAAAACGAUAGAAAACCCAAAAACUAGGAACUUCCAAUCCACCAUCGGAUCAAUGUCUCCAACUGCAGAAAACUCAAGUUUUUGGAUGUUUCUUGGAACAAUUUCUCAAUGGGGAAGCCUUCGUUUGGUGACUGUUUAAGUUUAGGACACCUCAAUGCCUCCGCCAACAAGUUUUCUGAUGACAUUGGUCGUGAAAUCUCAUCUUGUCUGAACUUAAACUUCUUGAAUCUAUUGGACAACCAGUUUUUCUGUCGCAUUCCAGGAAAGGAAAAGUCGUCAAGUAAUCAUCAUUGAAGUGUUCGUAGCCAUUGUGUUUAGAUCAUUGGAAGUUUAUGAUGGUUGGAAGUUCAAGUCAGAGCUCACACUAUCUAUUCAACAACUCGGUAUAAAUUGUGAUUAUUUUGAUUUAGGUUAUAAAUGACAUGUACUAGGAAUUUAAGUUCAAUUACUAUUAGACGUGUUGUUUCAUACUUUGUUAUGCGAUGCUGUGGUUGUGUUUAUUUGGCUCUUCUGGUAUGUUUUAACCAUAUGUAUAUAACUAGUAUGAUUCAUGACUUUGCAAGUUUGGUUCUGAUUGUGGUUUAAGGUUAUGAAAUGCUAGAUAUGUAACAACCCGAUUUUAGCAAAAUCGAAAUAGUGGUUUCAGAACCACAUAUCUGAAGUUGUAAAAUUAUUUUUAAUAUUAUUUUAUGUGUUUACAACAUGAUAGCAUGUACGUGUGAAAAUCGUUUGGAUGUUUAAUUUGAUAAAAGGACUUAAUCGCGUAAAAUACAAAAGUUGCAUACUAUUUGUUUAAAGUGCUUAAUUGCUAUGAUUAAUUAAAUUAAAAGUCCUUAUGAC
Long non-coding RNA from Gossypium raimondii (Peruvian cotton), 1010 nucleotides. RefSeq lists it as uncharacterized. The record is from RefSeq and is a predicted model, not a curated record. Lineage: Eukaryota; Viridiplantae; Streptophyta; Magnoliopsida; Malvales; Malvaceae. The transcript is spliced from 3 exons.